CCGAGAAGCAGCAGCGGCGGCAUGAGCCGCUAACCAGUACGAGAGAAACGGGCAUAAGCAACGCAGAAGCGGUCGAGGGGCCCCUUUUUUAAGUCAGCGGGCACCUUGACCAGACACGCGGGCAAACGCCGUCUCCUUCCUCCUCUCCCUUCGUUCCCCUAAAUUCCCCCUGCAGGAGCCACCUUGACGCGUGGGAGCUAGUGACCUACACCAAUGAUCAUCGGUAGGCCGGUAUUAAAACUCGUUGCACCGGGUUUUUCUCUCGCGGUCACGCGCAAGUAUUCCCGCAGGUGUGUGUCGCGUCGUCGUGUGCGAGAUGAUAAAAGAGGAAAAAAAAAAAUUUUCGCAAAGGGAAGUAGGGGGG
This 364-nucleotide unclassified non-coding RNA is filed under the name Athalia rosae (coleseed sawfly). RNAcentral's name for it is "misc RNA ENSAEAG00005012565.1". Lineage: Eukaryota; Metazoa; Arthropoda; Insecta; Hymenoptera; Athaliidae. The record is from RNAcentral.